UUGUCCGGAAUUACUGGGCGUAAAGGGUACGCAGGCGGCCAAGCAAGUCAGAUGUGAAAGGCGUAGGCUCAACCUAUGUAAGCAUUUGAAACUGUUUGGCUUGAGUUAAGGAGAGGAAAGUGGAAUUCCUGGUGUAGCGGUGAAAUGCGUAGAUAUCAGGAAGAAUAUCAGUGGCGAAGGCGACUUUCUGGACUUAUACUGACGCUGAGGUACGAAAGCGUGGGGAGCAAACAGGAUUAGAUACCCUGGUAGUCCACGCCGUAAACGAUGAGUGCUAGGUGUCGGGGGUCAAACCUCGGUGCCGGAGUUAACACAUUAAGCACUCCGCCUGGGGAGUACGUUCGCAAG
RNAcentral lists this ribosomal RNA (348 nucleotides) under Clostridium sp. enrichment clone 3Ben5. Its description in RNAcentral is "bacterial SSU rRNA". It matches the Rfam family "Bacterial small subunit ribosomal RNA", at positions 541 to 892 of the family's 1533-position model. Lineage: Bacteria; Bacillati; Bacillota; Clostridia; Eubacteriales; Clostridiaceae. The record is from RNAcentral.